AUACGGAGGACGCGAGCGUUAUCCGGAUUCAUUGGGUUUAAAGGGUGCGCAGGCGGCCGUGCAAGUCAGCGGUGAAAGCCCGGGGCUCAACCCCGGAAGUGCCGUUGAUACUGCAUGGCUGGAAUGCGGUCGAGGCGGGCGGAACGUGGCGGGUAUGGGUGGAAUGCGGAGAUAUGCAACACGACGCCGGAAACGGAGGCAGCGCGGCCGGCGUACAUUGACGAGCGGGCACGAAAGCGUGGGGAUCGAACAGGAUUAGAUACCCUGGUAGUCCACGCCGUAAACGAUGGGCGCUCGUCGUCGGCGGCAGACAGUCGGCGGCCAAGCGAAAGCGAUAAGCGCCCCACCUGGGGAGUACGGUCGCAAGGCUGAAACUCAAAUGAAUUGACGGGG
Molecule: ribosomal RNA, 393 nt
Filed under: uncultured bacterium
Lineage: Bacteria
Description: partial 16S ribosomal RNA
Rfam family: Bacterial small subunit ribosomal RNA
Source: RNAcentral